RNAcentral lists this ribosomal RNA (728 nucleotides) under Rotylenchulus macrosomoides. RNAcentral describes it as "eukaryotic LSU rRNA". It matches the Rfam family "Eukaryotic large subunit ribosomal RNA", at positions 355 to 920 of the family's 3401-position model. Lineage: Eukaryota; Metazoa; Nematoda; Chromadorea; Rhabditida; Hoplolaimidae. The record is from RNAcentral.
GAGGGAAAGUUGCAAAGCACUUUGAAGAGAGAGUUAAAAAGGACGUGAAACCGAUGAGGUGGAAACGGACAGAGCCGGCGUAUCUGGCUUGCAUUCAAGCAUGCGCUCUAAGGCGCCAUGCAAUUGCUCUCCAGUUUGGGACGGUUGCUUGGCUGUCUGCGAGAGGAUGCUGCAUUUGCAGGAAGAGUGCGCCGAGGCAGUCAGGAUAGCGGCACAAGUUUGGUCUUGAGGCCAGCCCUUCGGGGUCUGGUACCCGGACCAGGGGUGUGCUGUUUCUCCUUACUGGCGAAGGGAGUGGUAGUCGGGCACGGUUAGGUGCAGAGCUGGCAGCCAGUGGCGGUCGCAUGCGACACGUGCUGGCGGUCAGUUCGGUCUUGGUCGAGCUCUCAGAUCCCGAACUUCGGUGUAAAAGCUGGUCAUCUGUCCGACCCGUCUUGAAACACGGACCAAGGAGUUUAGCGUGUGCGCGAGUCAUUGGGCGUUGAAAACCCAAAGGCGCAAUGAAAGUGAAGGUCUCCCCUGUGGAGCUGAUGUGUGACCUGGGUCAUCUCAGUGGCCUUGAGCAACAUGGUCCCGUCCUGACCGCAUGCGGUGGGGCGGAGACAGAGCGUACGCGCUGAGACCCGAAAGAUGGUGAACUAUUCCUGAGCAGGACGAAGCCAGAGGAAACUCUGGUGGAAGUCCGAAGCGAUUCUGACGUGCAAAUCGAUCGUCUGACUUGGGUAUAG